GAUGAACGCUGGCGGCGUGCCUAAUACAUGCAAGUCGAGCGAACGGAUGAGAAGCUUGCUCCUCUGAUGUUAGCGGCGGACGGGUGAGUAACACGUGGAUAACCUACCUAUAAGACUGGGAUAACUUCGGGAAACCGGAGCUAAUACCGGAUGAUAUAUUGAACCGCAUGGUUCAAUAGUGAAAGACGGUCUUGCUGUCACUUAUAGAUGGAUCCGCGCUGCAUUAGCUAGUUGGUAAGGUAACGGCUUACCAAGGCAACGAUGCGUAGCCGACCUGAGAGGGUGAUCGGCCACACUGGAACUGAGACACGGUCCAGACUCCUACGGGAGGCAGCAGUAGGGAAUCUUCCGCAAUGGGCGAAAGCCUGACGGAGCAACGCCGCGUGAGUGAUGAAGGUCUUCGGAUCGUAAAACUCUGUUAUUAGGGAAGAACAAAUGUGUAAGUAACUGUGCACGUCUUGACGGUACCUAAUCAGAAAGCCACGGCUAACUACGUG
Molecule: ribosomal RNA, 497 nt
Filed under: uncultured bacterium
Lineage: Bacteria
Description: partial 16S ribosomal RNA
Rfam family: Bacterial small subunit ribosomal RNA
Source: RNAcentral